RNAcentral lists this ribosomal RNA (465 nucleotides) under uncultured bacterium. Its description in RNAcentral is "partial 16S ribosomal RNA". It matches the Rfam family "Bacterial small subunit ribosomal RNA", at positions 28 to 507 of the family's 1533-position model. The record is from RNAcentral.
GAUGAACGCUGGCGGCGUGCUUAACACAUGCAAGUCGAACGGAAAGGCUCCUGCUUGCAGGGGUACUCGAGUGGCGAACGGGUGAGUAACACGUGGGUGAUCUGCCCUGCACUUCGGGAUAAGCCUUGGAAACUGGGUCUAAUACCGGAUAGGACCACAUUUUGGGUGGUGUGGUGGAAAGUUUUUCGGUGUGGGAUGAGCUCGCGGCCUAUCAGCUUGUUGGUGGGGUAAUGGCCUACCAAGGCGUCGACGGGUAGCCGGCCUGAGAGGGUGUACGGCCACAUUGGGACUGAGAUACGGCCCAGACUCCUACGGGAGGCAGCAGUGGGGAAUAUUGCACAAUGGGCGCAAGCCUGAUGCAGCGACGCCGCGUGGGGGAUGACGGCCUUCGGGUUGUAAACUCCUUUCGCUAGGGACGAAGCGAAAGUGACGGUACCUGGAGAAGAAGCACCGGCUAACUACGUG